CACCGCCCGUCACACCAUGGGAGUUGACCGCUCCAGAAGUGGCCACGCCAACCCGCAAGGGAAGCAGGUCCCCAAGGAGCGAUCGAUGACUGGGGUG
Molecule: ribosomal RNA, 97 nt
Filed under: uncultured bacterium
Lineage: Bacteria
Description: partial 16S ribosomal RNA
Rfam family: Bacterial small subunit ribosomal RNA
Source: RNAcentral